This 626-nucleotide ribosomal RNA is filed under the name uncultured beta proteobacterium. RNAcentral describes it as "bacterial SSU rRNA". It matches the Rfam family "Bacterial small subunit ribosomal RNA", at positions 251 to 868 of the family's 1533-position model. Lineage: Bacteria; Pseudomonadati; Pseudomonadota; Betaproteobacteria. The record is from RNAcentral.
GGUGGGGUAAAGGCCCACCUAGGCGACGAUCAGUAGCUGGUCUGAGAGGACGACCAGCCACACUGGAACUGAGACACGGUCCAGACUCCUACGGGAGGCAGCAGUGGGGAAUUUUGGACAAUGGGCGCAAGCCUGAUCCAGCCAUUCCGCGUGAGUGAAGAAGGCCUUCGGGUUGUAAAGCUCUUUCGCAAGGGAAGAAAACUUAUCCUCUAACAUAGGAUGAGGUUGACGGUACCUUGAUAAGAAGCACCGGCUAACUACGUGCCAGCAGCCGCGGUAAUACGUAGGGUGCGAGCGUUAAUCGGAAUUACUGGGCGUAAAGCGUGCGCAGGCGGUUUUGUAAGUCAGAUGUGAAAUCCCCGAGCUCAACUUGGGAACUGCGUUUGAAACUACAAGACUAGAAUAUGUCAGAGGGGGGUAGAAUUCCACGUGUAGCAGUGAAAUGCGUAGAGAUGUGGAGGAAUACCAAUGGCGAAGGCAGCCCCCUGGGAUAAUAUUGACGCUCAUGCACGAAAGCGUGGGGAGCAAACAGGGUUAGAUACCCUGGUAGUCCACGCCCUAAACGAUGUCUACUAGUUGUUGGUGGAGUAAAAUCCAUGAGUAACGCAGCUAACGCGUGAAGUAGA